GGGGGAUAACUCCGGGAAACCGGAGCUAAUACCGCAUAAGACUACAUCUCCGCAUGGAGAAGGGGUCAAAGCUCCGCAAGGGGCUCUUGAGGAGGAGUUCACGGCCUAUCAGCUAGUUGGUGAGGUAACGGCUUACCAAGGCUACGACGGGUAGUCGGUCUGAAAGGACGACCGACCACAAUGGCACUGAGACACGGGCCAUACUCCUACGGGAGGCAGCAGUGGGGAAUUUUGCGCAAUGGGGGAAACCCUGACGCAGCGAUGCCGCGUGGAGGACGAAGGUCUUCGGAUUGUAAACUCCUUUUGCUAGGGACAAAACGUCACGUGAAGAGCGUGGCUGGAUGGUACCUGGCGAAUAAGCCACGGCUAACUUCGUGCCAGCAGCCCGCGGUAAGACGAAGGUGGCGAGCGUUACUCGGAAUUACUAGGCGUAAAGCGUGGGUAGGUGGUUCGGUCAGUCUGUUGUGAAAGCUCCCGGCUCAACUGGGAGAGGCCAAUGG
RNAcentral lists this ribosomal RNA (500 nucleotides) under uncultured bacterium. RNAcentral's name for it is "bacterial SSU rRNA". It matches the Rfam family "Bacterial small subunit ribosomal RNA", at positions 138 to 629 of the family's 1533-position model. The record is from RNAcentral.